RNAcentral lists this ribosomal RNA (253 nucleotides) under uncultured bacterium. Its description in RNAcentral is "partial 16S ribosomal RNA". It matches the Rfam family "Bacterial small subunit ribosomal RNA", at positions 524 to 776 of the family's 1533-position model. The record is from RNAcentral.
UACAGAGGGUGCGAGCGUUAAUCGGAAUUACUGGGCGUAAAGCGCGCGUAGGCGGCUUUGCAAGUCGGGUGUGAAAGCCCCGGGCUCAACCUGGGAAUUGCAUUCGAGACUGCAUUGCUGGAGUACGGAAGAGGAGGGCGGAAUUCCCGGUGUAGCGGUGAAAUGCGUAGAUAUCGGGAGGAACAUCAGUGGCGAAGGCGGCCCUCUGGUCCAGUACUGACACUCAAGUGCGAAAGCGUGGGGAGCAAACAGG